CCUACGGGAGGCAGCAGUGGGGAAUAUUGCGCAAUGGGCGAAAGCCUGACGCAGCGACGCCGCGUGAGGGAUGAAGGUCUUCGGAUCGGAAACCUCUGUCAGCAGGGAAGAACGGUCACUGUGCUAAUCAGCAGUGAAUUGACGGUAACUGCAAGGGAAGCACCGGCUAACUCCGUGCCAGCAGCCACGGUAAUACGGGGGGUGCGAGCGUUAAUCGGAAUUAAUGGGCGUAAAGCGCUCGUAGGCGGUAUGUCAAGGCAAGGGUGAAAUCCCCGUGCUCAACGUGGGAACUGCCUUUGAAACUGGCUAACGGGAGUGUGCGAGAGGAUAGUGGAAUGCCAGGUGUAGGAGUGAAAUGCGUAGAUAUCUGGCGGAACACCAGUGGCGAAGGCGACUAUCUGGCACAUAACUGACGCUGAGGAGCGAAAGCGUGGGUAGCAAACAGGAUUAGAUACCCUGGUAGUC
Molecule: ribosomal RNA, 465 nt
Filed under: uncultured bacterium
Lineage: Bacteria
Description: partial 16S ribosomal RNA
Rfam family: Bacterial small subunit ribosomal RNA
Source: RNAcentral